This 73-nucleotide transfer RNA is filed under the name Stegodyphus mimosarum. It matches the Rfam family "tRNA". From Rfam's summary of the family: Transfer RNA (tRNA) molecules are approximately 80 nucleotides in length. Lineage: Eukaryota; Metazoa; Arthropoda; Arachnida; Araneae; Eresidae. The record is from Rfam by way of RNAcentral.
GCCUUCGUGGUGUACUGGUCAGCACACUCGGCGCGUAUUCGAGAGGUCUGUGGUUCGAGUCCUGGCGAGGGCA